GAUGAACGCUGGCGGCGUGCCUAAUACAUGCAAGUCGAGCGAACAGAUGAGGAGCUUGCUCCUCUGACGUUAGCGGCGGACGGGUGAGUAACACGUGGAUAACCUACCUAUAAGACUGGGAUAACUUCGGGAAACCGGAGCUAAUACCGGAUAAUAUAUUGAACCGCAUGGUUCAAUAGUGAAAGACGGUUUUGCUGUCACUUAUAGAUGGAUCCGCGCCGCAUUAGCUAGUUGGUAAGGUAACGGCUUACCAAGGCAACGAUGCGUAGCCGACCUGAGAGGGUGAUCGGCCACACUGGAACUGAGACACGGUCCAGACUCCUACGGGAGGCAGAAGUAGGGAAUCUUCCGCAAUGGGCGAAAGCCUGACAGAGCAACGCCGCGUGAGUGAUGAAGGUCUUCGGAUCGUAAAACUCUGUUAUUAGGGAAGAACAAAUGUGUAAGUAACUAUGCACGUCUUGACGGUACCUAAUCAGAAAGCCACGGCUAACUACGUG
This 497-nucleotide ribosomal RNA is filed under the name uncultured bacterium. RNAcentral describes it as "partial 16S ribosomal RNA". It matches the Rfam family "Bacterial small subunit ribosomal RNA", at positions 28 to 507 of the family's 1533-position model. The record is from RNAcentral.